RNAcentral lists this ribosomal RNA (468 nucleotides) under uncultured bacterium. RNAcentral describes it as "partial 16S ribosomal RNA". It matches the Rfam family "Bacterial small subunit ribosomal RNA", at positions 28 to 507 of the family's 1533-position model. The record is from RNAcentral.
GACGAACGCUGGCGGCGUGCUUAACACAUGCAAGUCGAACGGAAAGGCCCUGCUUUUGUGGGGUUCUCGUGUGGCGAACGGGUGAGUAACACGUGAGUAACCUGCCCUUGACUUUGUGAUAACUUCAGGAAACUGGGGCUAUUACCGGAUAGGAUCUCCUGCUGCAUGGUGGUGGUUGGAAAGUUUCGGCGGUUGGGGAUGGACUCGCGGCUUAUCAGCUUGUUGGUGGGGUAGUGGCUUCCCAAGGGUUUGACGGGUAGCCGGCCUGAGAGGGUGACCGGCCACAUGGGGACUGAGAUACGGAGCAGACUCGUACGGGAGGCAGCAGUGGAGAAUAUUGCAGAGUGAGCGGAAGCCUGAUGCAACAGCGCCGGGUGCGGGAUGACGGCCUUCGGGUUGUAAACAGCUGUCGACUGUGACGAAGCGUGAGUGACGGUAAUGGGUAAAGAAGCACCGACUAACUACGUG